CGCGGAGCGUGGGGACCGACGUGAGCACCAAUUAUUUCAGAGAAAUUGAUGGUCACUGAAGAAGCUUGUUAAAGAAUUUGCCUUCAAUGUGACAAGGGUAACCAUUGGACAUGACGCUGCUCUUGCUGAACUGCUUGAUGGUAUGCUGCAUGAGCUGGAUAUGCAGGAUCCACAGAAAAAUGACUGCUGAGCUUGCCUAAAGGAAUCCAAGAUGACCGUGCGA
Molecule: long non-coding RNA, 223 nt
Organism: Microtus oregoni (creeping vole)
Lineage: Eukaryota; Metazoa; Chordata; Mammalia; Rodentia; Cricetidae
Exons: 3
Source: RefSeq, a predicted model, not a curated record